This 418-nucleotide ribosomal RNA is filed under the name uncultured Methanosaeta sp. RNAcentral's name for it is "bacterial SSU rRNA". It matches the Rfam family "Archaeal small subunit ribosomal RNA", at positions 878 to 1295 of the family's 1478-position model. Lineage: Archaea; Methanobacteriati; Methanobacteriota; Methanomicrobia; Methanotrichales; Methanotrichaceae. The record is from RNAcentral.
ACCACAACGGGUGGAGCUUGCGGUUUAAUUGGAUUCAACGCCGGAAAUCUUACCGGGACCGACAGCGAUAUGAAGGCCAGGCUGAAGACUUUGCCGGAUUAGCUGAGAGGUGGUGCAUGGCCGUCGUCAGUUCGUACUGUGAAGCAUCCUGUUAAGUCAGGCAACGAGCGAGACCCACGCCCACAGUUGCCAGCGUACUCUCCGGAGUGACGGGUACACUGUGGGGACCGCCGCUGCUAAAGCGGAGGAAGGAAUGGGCAACGGUAGGUCAGUAUGCCCCGAAUAUCCCGGGCUACACGCGAGCUACAUUGGUUGGUACAAUGGGUAUCUACCCCGAAAGGGGAUGGUAAUCUCCUAAAGCCAAUCUUAGUCCGGAUUGAGGGCUGCAACUCGCCCUCAUGAAGCUGGAAUCCGUAGU